CCUACGGGGGGCAGCAGUGGGGAAUAUUGGGCAAUGGGGGCAACCCUGACCCAGCGACGCCGCGUGAGUGAAGAAAUCCCUCGGGAUGUAAAGCUCUGUUGUGUGGGAAGAUAAUGACGGUACCACACGAGGAAGCCCCGGCAAACUACGUGCCAGCAGCCGCGGUAAUACGUAGGGGGCAAGCGUUGUCCGGAAUUACUGGGCGUAAAGCGCACGCAGGCGGAUUAAAAAGUCAGCCGUAAAAUGCACGGGCUCAACCUGUGUUAGUCAGCUGAUACUAUUAGUCUAGAGUAUGUGAGAGGGAAGUGGAAUUCCCGGUGUAGCGGUGAAAUGCGUAGAUAUUGGGAGGAACACCAGUGGCGAAGGCGGCUUCCUGGCACAAAACUGACGCUCAUGUGCGAAAGCUAGGGCAGCGAACGGGAUUAGAUACCCCGGUAGUC
RNAcentral lists this ribosomal RNA (440 nucleotides) under uncultured Synergistaceae bacterium. Its description in RNAcentral is "bacterial SSU rRNA". It matches the Rfam family "Bacterial small subunit ribosomal RNA", at positions 338 to 795 of the family's 1533-position model. The record is from RNAcentral. Lineage: Bacteria; Thermotogati; Synergistota; Synergistia; Synergistales; Synergistaceae.